This is a non-coding RNA of Macaca mulatta (Rhesus monkey), 417 nucleotides long. NCBI's taxonomy places the organism in Eukaryota, Metazoa, Chordata, Mammalia, Primates, Cercopithecidae. The record is from RefSeq and is a predicted model, not a curated record.
AUGGGACCAGAGUGGGCUUACCAUGAAGAUUCCCAGUCGAGUGUGUAGAUUGAAUGUUCACCUACAUCCUCUCCUUUCACCUUACAAACUGUGGAUCUAGGAAAAUUUUCCAUAGUAGGAGGAAUAUUAAUUUCUCAAGGUCAUUCAAGGAGUUAGAGGCUGAAGUUGGAAUAUAAUAAAAGAUUUCUAACUCAAGUCAUCUGAUAAACAUCACCAUGGGUUUCCAAAGGGUUUGGCAAAGAACAUUAAAAUGUCAGAAGAAAUCAUAAUUGAAAAAAGAAGUAUACCAAUGGGAAGUCAAAGAAAGCAACUUUGAAAGUUUUAAUUUGUAAAGCUUAAAAAUAUUCCUAUCUCCGUAUUCCCCACUUGCAUCCCAAUUGUUCCAUAAUUCAAAAUAAUAAAAAGAGAAAAUACAAA